GAUGAACGCUGGCGGCGUGCCUAAUACAUGCAAGUCGAGCGAACAGAUAAGGAGCUUGCUCCUUUGACGUUAGCGGCGGACGGGUGAGUUACACGUGGAUAACCUACCUAUAAGACUGGGAUAACUUCGGGAAACCGGAGCUAAUACCGGAUAAAAUAUUGAACCGCAUGGUUCAAUAGUGAAAGGCGGCUUUGCUGUCACUUAUAGAUGGAUCCGCGCCGUAUUAGCUAGUUGGUAAGGUAACGGCUUACCAAGGCAACGAUACGUAGCCGACCUGAGAGGGUGAUCGGCCACACUGGAACUGAGACACGGUCCAGACUCCUACGGGAGGAAGCAGUAGGGAAUCUUCCGCAAUGGGCGAAAGCCUGACGGAGCAACGCCGCGUGAGUGAUGAAGGUCUUCGGAUCGUAAAACUCUGUUAUCAGGGAAGAACAAAUGUGUAAGUAACUGUGCACAUCUUGACGGUACCUGAUCAGAAAGCCACGGCUAACUACGUG
This 497-nucleotide ribosomal RNA is filed under the name uncultured bacterium. Its description in RNAcentral is "partial 16S ribosomal RNA". It matches the Rfam family "Bacterial small subunit ribosomal RNA", at positions 28 to 507 of the family's 1533-position model. The record is from RNAcentral.